AGAACUUAAAACAAAGUGCUCGAAAUCAGGGUUGUUAGCAGAGUUCAAAGAAAACCGAGAAAACACGGAAUUAAAAAGUUAUCAAGAAAAACAAGGAAAGUGAAGGAUUCAAGAAAUUUAUAUUAAUUUAAAAUUAAAUUAUUGUAAUAUAUAAAUUCUAAACUUUUAAUUUUUUUAGAACCUAUUAACUAAAAUUUCCAAACUUAUUUAAGGAAGCGUUGUAAAGAUAUUUCAUGAUUUUUUAAUUUUGCAGGGAAUGAUGUGCAGAAAACCAUUAACAAGCAUAAUAAUAAUAAUAAUAAUAAUAGUAUUGGGAGUGAUCCUUCUACGAAGCUCACUUUUGGCACUCAGACCGAGUCCAUUGUGCCCCUCCGUUAUCAGCUGCCUUAGCGGGGCCCCGCUUCUUUCCAGAAGCGGAGCAGACCCCACAGGCAGCUGCCCCACCUAAUCUGCAUCUAGAAAACCUGAGCCUAGCAGGCGUGUUCUUGGUCCGAACAAUGCUGGACAGUACCCAAGAAUGUGAAAGCUAGUCUCCUCCUCUUCAUCACACCACUUGCAGUCGGGCGUAUUACUACGGCCCAAUUUGUGCAGGUGGUAGUUAAGGGGUUACAUACACCUAGAAAUUUUGAAAAAAUGCAUUUUUCGUUUUUUACAUAUUCGUAAAGUAUAAGGUCUUGAGAAUAUUUCCUGCAAGUUUCAAAGUGAUUCCUUGAAAAUUGUCGGAGAUAUAGCGAGAAAGGUCCAAGCGCGUUCGACGACGCUGGGGCGCGAUGGGCACCUUCUAAUCCUUCGCAGCAGAUAGUUUACGAAAGAAUAUUACGCCGGCAAGUUAAAAUCGAAGCCUUUGAUGCCGCUACAUCUGGAGAUGGUUCACUGUAUGGCCCUGGAGUGGAUGACUCCAUAUAAGUUCUGUACGAGCUGCAAUUGGCACCGCAAAACACUUUUUUUUAACAAGAUCUUGCGACGAGGACAAUAUUUCCGCCAUUUUUAAAUAUUUUUAGUUCAAAUUUAUUCUGAAACAUGUUCUAAGAAUGUAUUUUAAAGUAAAGAAAACUAGGAUUAAUUACAUACACUAUGUUUCGAAAAAAAAAAAUUGAGAAAAAGAUCUAUUUUUUACGUCUUUAGGUGUAUGUAACCCCUUAAGAUCGCCAUGACCCGUGAGCAGCCGCGUCACAAGCCUGGCGCCCUUUCUGCUUAGAGAUCUUCUGGCUAAUCCCCCGCCGGGGCACUCCCCAAGGUUCUGGCCUGUCUUGAUCUCCGUUUCUUUUCUCCAGUACUCAAAAUGCUAUUCCCUGAGCCAGCUCCUGAUCCUUCCCCUGCCCAGACAGAAAGAGAUCCCAACAGCCGGCUCCGGUCCCAGCAACCUUGUUUCCACCGCCUCUUUAGCGAGUAGAUCGGCCAUUUUGUUGCAUUUGAUCCCUAAGUGCCCGGGAACCCAUACUAGGCCAACAUCAUUUUUUUUCGCUCGUCCAGUACGCAUUUGCAAUCCCAGACUAGCCGCGAGUUAAUUCUCGGAUCCUCAAGCGUCUUAAGUGCCUCCUGACUGUCCGAGCAGAUCCUAAUGCGCCUUCCUACCCUAUCAGACUCUAAUAGGUCCUGAGCACAUCUCAUGAUAGCUAUCAUCUCUGCCUGAAAAACUGUAACGUGUUUACUAAGCGAAAUGAUGAUCUUUGCUUCACUGCGCUGGCAAUAAAGACCCGCUCCAGAGCCCGUGCUCAUUAACAAGCAUGAAUAAAAAGAAAAAUUAUAAUAUUUUGAUUUUUGCAAACUUAAAAUAUGUAACGUUAAUGAUGUUUCGCAAAUCAUUCACAACAAGAUUGUACAAAAUUAUACAAAAUAUUUAUGAUGCUUCAGUAAUUAUGUAUUUUUUAACGAACGAAUUUAUUGCAAAAAAUUUAAUUUUUGUUUCGUGUAUAAUAUUAUUGAAUGUUUCAAAAUUAUAGAUAAAAAGUUUCUGACUAAAGAUUUUAACUAAAGUUUCUAAUUAAAAUUAUAAUUAGAACAGUGUUUUAACAAGAUUAUUAAAUCUCAAUGAACAAAGCAAAGACGAAAUAUUAAUAUAAUUUUUAUUCAAUGCUCCUUUCAGGCUUCAAUCAAGGAGUUUUCUGUAAAGUGACUG
Molecule: long non-coding RNA, 2119 nt
Filed under: Monomorium pharaonis (pharaoh ant)
Lineage: Eukaryota; Metazoa; Arthropoda; Insecta; Hymenoptera; Formicidae
Description: uncharacterized LOC114254145
Source: RNAcentral